UACAGAGGCGGCAAGCGUUGUUCGGAAUUAUUGGGCGUAAAGAGCACGUAGGCGGCCUUGUAAGUCAGUUGUGAAAGCCUUCUGCUCAACGGAAGAACAGCAUCUGAUACUGCAAGGCUAGAGUGCGGAAGGGGAGAGUGGAACUUCUGGUGGAGCGGUGAAAUGCGUAGAUAUCAGAAGGAACACCGGCGGCGAAGGCGACUCUCUGGUCCGUAACUGACGCUGAGUGCACGAAGGCGUGGGGAGCAAACGGG
Molecule: ribosomal RNA, 254 nt
Filed under: uncultured bacterium
Lineage: Bacteria
Description: partial 16S ribosomal RNA
Rfam family: Bacterial small subunit ribosomal RNA
Source: RNAcentral